RNAcentral lists this ribosomal RNA (500 nucleotides) under uncultured bacterium. RNAcentral describes it as "partial 16S ribosomal RNA". It matches the Rfam family "Bacterial small subunit ribosomal RNA", at positions 30 to 523 of the family's 1533-position model. The record is from RNAcentral.
AUUGAACGCUGGCGGAAUGCUUUACACAUGCAAGUCGAACGGCAGCACGGACUUCGGUCUGGUGGCGAGUGGCGAACGGGUGAGUAACAUAUCGGAACGUAUCCAAUAAUGGGGGAUAACGAGUCGAAAGAUUCGCUAAUACCGCAUACGCCCUACGGGGGAAAGCUGGGGACCUUCGGGCCUGGCGUUAAUGGAGCGGCCGAUAUCUGAUUAGCUAGUUGGUGAGGUAAAGGCUCACCAAGGCGACGAUCAGUAGCUGGUCUGAGAGGACGACCAGCCACACUGGAACUGAGACACGGUCCAGACUCCUACUGGAGGCAGCAGUGGGGAAUUUUGGACAAUGGGCGCAAGCCUGAUCCAGCCAUUCCGCGUGAGUGAAGAAGGCCUUCGGGUUGUAAAGCUCUUUCGCAAGGGAAGAAAACUUAGCCACUAACAUUGGUUGAGGUUGACGGUACCUUGAUAAGAAGCACCGGCUAACUACGUGCCAGCCGCCACCGUAA